This 305-nucleotide ribosomal RNA is filed under the name uncultured bacterium. RNAcentral's name for it is "bacterial SSU rRNA". It matches the Rfam family "Bacterial small subunit ribosomal RNA", at positions 338 to 640 of the family's 1533-position model. The record is from RNAcentral.
CCUACGGGGGGCAGCAGUGAGGAAUAUUGGUCAAUGGGCGGGAGCCUGAACCAGCCAAGUCGCGUGAGGGAAGACGGUCCUAUGGAUUGUAAACCUCUUUUGUCGGGGAGCAAAGAGAUCACGUGUGGUCAAAAGCGAGAGUACCCGAAGAAAAAGCAUCGGCUAACUCCGUGCCAGCAGCCGCGGUAAUACGGAGGAUGCGAGCGUUAUCCGGAUUUACUGGGUUUAAAGGGUGCGUAGGCGGGACGGUAAGUCAGCGGUAAAAAUGCGGAGCUCAACUCCGGCGAGCCGUUGAAACUGCCGUU